CAUGAAGAGGUUAAGCUAUCUACGCUCUUUUGUUUUGCCCUGCCUCUCCCUCCCGAUGAAGAUUUGUCUAUAAAGUUAUUUUUAGAUGCCUUGUGAGCAAAUUUUGUGGGAAGACAGGCAGCCAGCAGCCCCCGGCGAGCUGCUAAGCCCACCCCUCUCAGCUUACAGAGCGCAAUUAGCAGAUAAUCAUGCCAAAAUCGCAGACUCCAAGCGGCUAAUUUUAUCGGUGUGCUGACAUCGUGAGCUUGUUGAAAAAAAACCACAUCAAGCAAAUGCUGAUCUCACUCUGCCUGUAGUAAAGCUUGGGACAUGCUGGGAUGCUCAGAGACAGAAUUUGUGAGUUAAUUUGCACUGAGAGCAGACUGAAAACACAGAAAACUCAUGCAAGCUGGAAAGGCUUUACCAUUAUUUCCCAAACACAGAAAUAUGUGUCUGCAGUGUGCUGCAUUUUAGAACAGCAUCUACUCAGAUGGUGGGGAAUUCAUCACAGCCCAGGGUGAGUAAUUCCAAUGGCUCAUUACUCUUUCAAUUACAAACUGGCACUUUCUUUGCAGUCUGAAUUUGUCUAAUUUUGGUUCCAGCCAUU
Molecule: long non-coding RNA, 586 nt
Filed under: Cyanistes caeruleus (blue tit)
Lineage: Eukaryota; Metazoa; Chordata; Aves; Passeriformes; Paridae
Description: lncRNA (ENSCCEG00000011034.1)
Source: RNAcentral